Molecule: long non-coding RNA, 1481 nt
Organism: Centrocercus urophasianus (Greater sage-grouse)
Lineage: Eukaryota; Metazoa; Chordata; Aves; Galliformes; Phasianidae
Exons: 3
Source: RefSeq, a predicted model, not a curated record
UCUGAGUCCUCUCUUGCAGCUUAUUUUCCCUGGGAGUCUUCAGCCCAAGGCUCAGAAAAACAGGAUCUUAGGAGCAUUUUUGCUACACAAAAUACAUCCAUAUUUCUUCUUUUAGACAUUGACACAGGCAUGGGAUACAAGCAGUUCUGGAAGCUGUCACAUAAGCAGAACCACCCAGGACAGUAGGCCUUCUUGAAGAGGAGACAUCUCUCAGCCAUGCUUUGUUGUCUCCCACAUUUCAGAAGAAGAGCAGCAGCAGGGAGAGGGAGGGAAUUGUCUCCUAUUCCGUCCUUGUGGAGCCCCAUCUGCAGUACUACAUCCAGGCCUAGGACCCCCAGAAUAAGAAGGAUAUAGAGCUGCUACAGUGGGUCCAGAGGAAGCCACAAAGAUGAUUAGAGGGCUGGAGCACCUCUCCAGCUCUGAAGAAAGGCUGAGGGACCUGGCCUUGUUCAGUCCGGAAAAGAGAAGGCUGUGCAGAGACCUCAUUGUGGCCUUCCAGUCCUGAAGGGAACUUAUAAGCAGGUUGGAUCUCUUCUAUGUGCUACUGGAGGUCUGGGUGAGAUGUCAAGAGGAAUUCUGCUAACCCAUAGUAGAAGAAUUUAUGCUAAUGAAUGAUGUUCUGGCUAAAAUUCUAGCCAAGAUGUGGCCUGGGAAACUCAGUUGUAGUCAAACUGAUGGAUACUGGAAUACUACCUAGUGCCCUUACAUUGUGCCAAGGAUGCAGAAGUCUCCUUCACCAUGACACAGACUGUGGACUUUCUCAGCAGGUGGAAAUGGAACUUUCACAUUAAUCUGAAUCUGCCCAGUUGUAGUGUGAUAUUUGCCAUGCCUGAAGCAAGCAUGCAGCCUUAUGCUGAAGACACAAGUCAGACACAGACUCUUUGAAACAAGUCUGACAAUCCAUCAAAGCACUUUCGGAAACUGAAGACAGGGAAUCUCACCCAUUAAUGAAUUUUCACAUGUAAAAACACAUACUCACAAAAGACUUAAAUUUUGCUUUAAUUUCUGGGAAUGGCAGCUCUCAAACACCUUAGCUGCAGGUUUCCUGACAUCUAUAUUGUCCACUUGUGGUGACAGUAUCCUGAAGCUAGUGACAGGAGGUAGGAAAGGCUUAACCACACCCCUGUAAGAAGAGAGAGGCAACAGCAACAGCUCAGCCAUUGGCAGAGUAAUAGUUAAUGAGAAACUACUGCAAACCUUGUACCAAAGCACAUGCCAUAAAAUAACCCGUGACAGUUAAGCGCCUUCCUGCUUUUACACUGCUAGCUUGUUCACCAACUGGGAAAAAACAAACAGAAAGUGGAAGUGUUGCUGCUUUAAAGCAAGUGAUCUGGUGUGUAAGAGAUUACAUCCUCCCAGGGAGGAGUUUUCGGGGAGGAAGGCAGUGUACAGCUCAUAAAUAUCUGGGACAAAGCAUUGCUGUCCCAUCUGCAUUGUGCUCGCUGGUGAGAAGCAGUGUUCCUGUUCAUCCACAGACAGCA